This 453-nucleotide ribosomal RNA is filed under the name uncultured bacterium. Its description in RNAcentral is "bacterial SSU rRNA". It matches the Rfam family "Bacterial small subunit ribosomal RNA", at positions 354 to 796 of the family's 1533-position model. The record is from RNAcentral.
GUGGGGAAUAUUGCGCAAUGGGCGAAAGCCUGACGCAGCGACGCCGCGUGGGUGAUGAAGGUCUUCGGAUCGUAAAGCCCUGUCGGAGAGGGAAGAAAAACCCGUGGGAAUAAUACCUCACGAGUCUGACGGUACCUCUCCAGAAAGCACCGGCUAACUCCGUGCCAGCAGCCGCGGUAAUACGGAGGGUGCUAACGUUGUUCGGAAUUACUGGGCGUAAAGCGCGUGUAGGCGGCUUUGCAAGUCAGAUGUGAAAUCCCUCGGCUCAACCGAGGAAGUGCAUUUGAAACUGCUAGGCUAGAGUACGGGAGAGGGUUGUAGAAUUCCCGGUGUAGAGGUGAAAUUCGUAGAUAUCGGGAGGAAUACCGGUGGCGAAGGCGGCAACCUGGACCGAUACUGACGCUGAGACGCGAAAGCGUGGGUAGCAAACAGGAUUAGAUACCCGAGUAGUCC